Molecule: transfer RNA, 65 nt
Filed under: Tylodelphys immer
Lineage: Eukaryota; Metazoa; Platyhelminthes; Trematoda; Diplostomida; Diplostomidae
Description: tRNA-Asp
Source: RNAcentral
AUGUCCCUAGUUUAUUUAAAAUGGUAGUUUGUCGUACUAUUGAUGUUGUUUAUUUACGGGAUAUG